This 252-nucleotide ribosomal RNA is filed under the name uncultured bacterium. Its description in RNAcentral is "partial 16S ribosomal RNA". It matches the Rfam family "Bacterial small subunit ribosomal RNA", at positions 524 to 776 of the family's 1533-position model. The record is from RNAcentral.
UACGUAGGGGGCGAGCGUUGUCCGGAAUUAUUGGGCGUAAAGCGCGCGCAGGCGGUUUUUUAAGUCUGAUGUAUAAGCCCAAGGCUCAACUUUGGGAGGCAUUGGAAACUGGGGAACUGGAGUGUAGGAGAGGAAAGUGGAAUUCCACGUGUAGCGGUGAAAUGCGUAGAGAUGUGGAGGAACACCAAUGGCGAAGGCAGCUCGCUGGGACGUUACUGACGCUGAGACGCGAAAGCGUGGGGAGCAAACAGG